CACGCACGCACACACACACACACACACGCGCACACACACACACACACACACACACACACACACACACACACACACACACACACACACACACACACACACACACACACACACACACACACACACACACACACACACACACACACACACACACACACACACACACACACACACACACACACACACACACACUUAUCCUAACCCUUAGUAUACUACUACCCUCAUCCAUACGCGGGUAUAUUAUCCCAUAUUCCAUCGCCCCUGCAUGAGUUUUCAAGUUAUAUAAUAGUCGUAUGUAAAAUAUACACAUGGAAUGCUUACUUGCAGGCUCCUUCUCGACAAUGCAACAACAGUAAGAAGUGAUAAAAGAUUACAAACAAAGUAAAUGAGCCAAUAGAAUAAACUGGCCUACACACAAUACCCCAAAAUGUCAAAGUGGAUUUUUUUUAUUUUUUAAAUGGCUUGAGCCAGUAAGUAUUCAACCCAUUUGUUAUGGUAAAUUAGUUCAGGAGUAAAAAUGUACCGUAUGACGUGUGUGGGCUUCUCACUCUGCUCAGUGUGUGUGUGUGUGUGUGUGUGUGUGUGUGUGUGUGUGUGUGUGUGUGUGUGUGUGUAAUAAUAGUGAUUUAACAUCAUUUCUGAAUGAAUACGUCAUCUCUGUACCCCACACAUACAAUUAUCUUUACGGUUCCUCAGUCGAGCAGUGAAUUUCAAACACAUUUUCAACCACGAAUACCAGGGAGGCCUCGCAAAGAAGAGCACCUAUUGGUGGAUGGGUACAAAGUAAAAAAGAAAAAAAAGAAGACAUUGAUGAAGUUAUUAAUUACACUCUGAAAGAUGUAUAAGUGCACACAGUCACUACAAAGGUAAAGGCGUCCUUCCUCACUCAGUUGCCAGAUAAGAAGGAAACCACUCAGGGAUUUCACCGUGAGGCCAAUGCAAUGGUGACAUUAAAAACAGUUUAAUGGUCAUGAUAGGAGAAAAUGGAGGAUGGAUCAACAUUGUAGUUACUCCACAAUGCUAACCUAUAAUUGACAGAGAGAAAAGAAGAAAGCCUGCACCGAAUAAACAAUAUUCAAAAACAUGCACCCUGUUUGCAACAAGGCACUAAAGUAAUACUGCAAAAAAAAUGUGGCAAAGCAAUUCACUUUAUGUCCUGAAUACAAAGUUUGGGGCAAAUCCAAUACAACACAUUACUGAAUACCACUCUCCAUAUUUUCAAGCAUAAUGGUGGCUGCAUCCUAAGGACUGGGGAGUUUUUCAGGAUAAAAAAAAAAAAGAAAUGUUACGGAGCUAAGCACAGGCAACAUCCUAGAGGAAAACCUGGUUCAGUCUGCUUUCCACCAGACGAUGGAAGAUGGGAUUCACCUUUCAGUAGUACAAUAGCAAGGCGACAGUGAAUGUUCCGGAGUGGCCGAGUCACAGUUGUAAAUCUAAGGCAAGACCUGAAAAUGGUUGUGUGGCAAUGAUCAACAAUCAAUUUGACAGAGUUUGAAGAAUUUUGAAAAGAGUAAUAGCAAACGUCGCACAGUCCAGGUGUGGAAAGCUCUUCGUGCCUUUACCCAGAAAGACUCACAGCUGUAAUCACUGCCAAAGGUGCGUCGACAAAGUAUUAACUCACGGGUGUAAAUACUUAUGUAAAAUUAGAUAUUUCUGUAUUUAUUUGUCAAAAAAAUUGCUCAAAUGUCUAAAAACAUGUUUACAUGAUGUCAUUAUGGGGUAUUGUGUGUAGAUGGGUCAAAAAAGAAUAAUUCAACAAUGGGGGCUGCAGGUGGCCUAGUGGUUAGAGCAUUGGGCCAGUAACUGAAAGGUAGCCUAGUGGUUAGAGCAUUGGGCCAGUAACUGAAAGGUAGCCUAGUGGUUAGAGCAUUGGGCCAGUAACUGAAAGGUAGCCUAGUGGUUAGAGCAUUGGGCCAGUAACUGAAAGGUAGCCUAGUGGUUAGAGCAUUGGGCCAGUAACUGAAAGGUAGCCUAGUGGUUAGAGCAUUGGGCCAGUAACUGAAAGGUAGCCUAGUGGUUAGAGCAUUGGGCCAGUAACUGAAAGGUAGCCUAGUGGUUAGAGCAUUGGGCCAGUAAUUGAAAGGUUGCCUAGUGGUUAGAGCAUUGGGCCAGUAACUGAAAGGUAGCCUAGUGGUCAGAGCAUUGGGCCAGUAACUGAAAGGUAGCCUAGUGGUUAGAGCAUUGGGCCAGUAACUGAAAGGUAGCCUAGUGGUUAGAGCAUUGGGCCAGUAACUGAAAGGUAGCCUAGUGGUUAGAGCAUUGGGCCAGUAACUGAAAGGUAGCCUAGUGGUUAGAGCAUUGGGCCAGUAACUGAAAGGUAGCCUAGUGGUUAGAGCAUUGGGCCAGUAACUGAAAGGUAGCCUAGUGGUUAGAGCAUUGGGCCAGUAACUGAAAGGUUGCUAGAUUGAAUCCCUGAGCUGACAAGGUAAAAAUCUGUCGUUCUGCCCCUGAACAAGGCAGUUAACCCACUGUUCCUAGGCCGUCAUUGAAAAUAAGAAUUUGUUCUUAACUGACUUGCCUAGUCCAACGCGCUAACCACUAGGCUAGCUGCCACAUGUGUUGUGAGACUUGAGUUGUCGAACAUCUAUUCAAGUUUGAGUCUGUAUUGUCUUUUUGCGUCCCUAAUGGAUUUACGGCGCUUUGUACCUGGCUUGCUGUGUAUGUGUCGCGCGUCAUCAGGGUUCGUUCUGCGGACAUUGAAUGAUGCAGUACGGGCUCUCAGCAUGGUACGGAUUUCUCUGUUCGCCCAGGGUUUUUGUUUGGGGUGUGUCCGGAUUGUUAUUGUGGGUACAACAUCAAUCAACAUAUUUCCUAAUGAAGCCUGUGACAGACAGAUUUAGCCAAAGCAUUCUCAGGGAUAGUUAGUUGAUUGACUAUAUAAAAUCCCAAUGAUGGCAGUCUGCGGUGGCAUGAAACAGUACUGCAGGUCAUUAUGAUCAUCUUGGAAGGAGAGUUGAGCCCUCACACACUUCCUGUCACACACACACACGUCCUGUGUUUGCGAUG
Oncorhynchus keta (chum salmon) is the source of this 3003-nucleotide long non-coding RNA. RefSeq lists it as uncharacterized. NCBI's taxonomy places the organism in Eukaryota, Metazoa, Chordata, Actinopteri, Salmoniformes, Salmonidae. The record is from RefSeq and is a predicted model, not a curated record. The transcript is spliced from 4 exons.